AAAGCGCAGAAAGGGUAGCACUACAUGAGUUGCAGCAUUCAGGUUUGUCCAUUACUGCAUUACUGUUGAAACUACCAUGGAAGAGUUAAAAAGGUUUGAAGAGUUUGUGGGGUGCCCUAGCUUAAUGAAAUAACUACUUUUGGUGUGAAGGAUAUGAGUACAUAGGCAAGGUGGAAGCAUAUUUAGAAGUCACUGCUCUGGUAGGGUGGUAAUAGAGUGAAUGAGAUUUUACAAGCUGGGCUGCGCAUGUUAUCUGAGUUUAUAUAAUCAAAUAAAGGAUAAAUCUUGUU
Molecule: unclassified non-coding RNA, 290 nt
Filed under: Hevea brasiliensis (rubber tree)
Lineage: Eukaryota; Viridiplantae; Streptophyta; Magnoliopsida; Malpighiales; Euphorbiaceae
Source: RNAcentral